This 464-nucleotide ribosomal RNA is filed under the name uncultured bacterium. RNAcentral describes it as "bacterial SSU rRNA". It matches the Rfam family "Bacterial small subunit ribosomal RNA", at positions 338 to 795 of the family's 1533-position model. The record is from RNAcentral.
CCUACGGGAGGCUGCAGUAGGGAAUCUUCCGCAAUGGACGAAAGUCUGACGGAGCAACGCCGCGUGAGCGAAGAAGGUCUUCGGAUCGUAAAGCUCUGUUGUUAGGGAAGAACAAGUACGGGAGGAAAUGACCGUACCUUGACGGUACCUAACGAGGAAGCCACGGCUAACUACGUGCCAGCAGCCGCGGUAAUACGUAGGUGGCAAGCGUUGUCCGGAAUUAUUGGGCGUAAAGCGCGCGCGGGCGGUCUUUUAAGUCUGAUGUGAAAUCUUGCGGCUCAACCGCAAGCGGUCAUUGGAAACUGGGGGCCUUGAGGGAGGAAGGGGAAAGCGGAAUUCCAGGUGUGGCGGUGAAUGGGGUAGGGAGGGGGAGGAACACCGGGGGCGAAGGCGGUUUUCUGGUCUGUAACGGACGCGGGGGCGCAAAAGCGUGGGGGGCAACAGGAUUAGAUACCCGUGUAGUC